RNAcentral lists this ribosomal RNA (498 nucleotides) under uncultured bacterium. RNAcentral describes it as "partial 16S ribosomal RNA". It matches the Rfam family "Bacterial small subunit ribosomal RNA", at positions 30 to 523 of the family's 1533-position model. The record is from RNAcentral.
AUUGAACGCUGGCGGCAUGCCUUACACAUGCAAGUCGAACGGUAACAGGUCUUCGGAUGCUGACGAGUGGCGAACGGGUGAGUAGUACAUCGGAACGUGCCUAGUAGUGGGGGAUAACUACUCGAAAGAGUGGCUAAUACCGCAUGAGAUCUACGGAUGAAAGCAGGGGAUCGCAAGACCUUGUGCUACUAGAGCGGCCGAUGGCAGAUUAGGUAGUUGGUGGGAUAAAAGCUUACCAAGCCGACGAUCUGUAGCUGGUCUGAGAGGACGAUCAGCCACACUGGGACUGAGACACGGCCCAGACUCCUACGGGAGGCAGCAGUGGGGAAUUUUGGACAAUGGGCGAAAGCCUGAUCCAGCAAUGCCGCGUGCAGGAUGAAGGCCUUCGGGUUGUAAACUGCAUUUGUACGGAACGAAAAGCCCCGGGUUAAUACCCUGGGGUCAUGACGGUACCGUAAGAAUAAGCACCGGCUAACUACGUGCCAGCCGCCGCGGUAA